Molecule: ribosomal RNA, 253 nt
Filed under: uncultured bacterium
Lineage: Bacteria
Description: partial 16S ribosomal RNA
Rfam family: Bacterial small subunit ribosomal RNA
Source: RNAcentral
UACGGAGGAUCCAAGCGUUAUCCGGAAUCAUUGGGUUUAAAGGGUCCGUAGGCGGGACAAUAAGUCAGUGGUGAAAGUCUGCAGCUUAACUGUAGAAUUGCCAUUGAAACUGUUGUUCUUGAGUAAUUAUGAAGUGGUUAGAAUAUGUAGUGUAGCGGUGAAAUGCAUAGAUAUUACAUAGAAUACCGAUUGCGAAGGCAGAUCACUAAUAAUUCACUGACGCUGAUGGACGAAAGCGUAGGUAGCGAACAGG